CGGCACGCUUAACACAUGCAAGUUGAACGAAAUGUUUCACCGUAGCUUGCUACACCGAGACAUUUUAGUGGCGGACGGGUGAGUAACACGUGAGGAACCUGCCUAUCAGAGAGGGAUACCGUUUGGAAACGAACGUUAAUACCUCAUAACGUAACGAGAUCGCAUGAUAAUGUUACCAAAGAUUUAUCGCUGAUAGAUGGCCUCGCGUCUGAUUAGAUAGUUGGUGAGGUAACGGCUCACCAAGUCGACGAUCAGUAGCCGGACUGAGAGGUUGACCGGCCACAUUGGGACUGAGAUACGGCCCAGACUCCUACGGGAGGCAGCAGUGGGGAAUAUUGCACAAUGGGGGAAACCCUGAUGCAGCGACGCCGCGUGAGUGAAGAAGUAUUUCGGUAUGUAAAGCUCUAUCAGCAGGGAAGAAAAUGACGGUACCUGACUAAGAAGCUCCGGCUAAAUACGUG
Molecule: ribosomal RNA, 461 nt
Filed under: uncultured bacterium
Lineage: Bacteria
Description: bacterial SSU rRNA
Rfam family: Bacterial small subunit ribosomal RNA
Source: RNAcentral